GAUCCUUGAUCAACGACCCAUUUCACUGCCCCACAAGAGGGGGCGACAACCACAUUCAUCUUACUGAGGGCUAGAGUUGACUUAACACUCUCAAGUUGACAUUGGGCCGGACGAUACUCACGACUACCCCACUCGUGGCUAAAGUUUUCUUAAGAUAUCCAAGGAGUUGGGCCGAACGACACUCAUCACUACCC
This is a long non-coding RNA of Solanum dulcamara, 194 nucleotides long. RefSeq lists it as uncharacterized. The record is from RefSeq and is a predicted model, not a curated record. NCBI's taxonomy places the organism in Eukaryota, Viridiplantae, Streptophyta, Magnoliopsida, Solanales, Solanaceae. The transcript has 4 exons.